This 779-nucleotide long non-coding RNA is filed under the name Helianthus annuus (common sunflower). Its description in RNAcentral is "hypothetical non coding rna". Lineage: Eukaryota; Viridiplantae; Streptophyta; Magnoliopsida; Asterales; Asteraceae. The record is from RNAcentral.
GACAAUAUCUCCCUCCACUUGAGGUUACUACUUCCUCCUCUUCUCUCAUAUUACUCCUGUCCCUCUACUCUCUCUCUCUCUAAAUUAUACUUGCACUUAUAACAUCUUUACCACACAAGAUACUGACUUGAGCGUCGGAGUGCCCACGGGGUGAACCCCCUCGGGCCCUCUAACUAGAUCUACCUGUGGCUGCAGCCCAAGACCCGACAUCCCGCAAGAGGAACCGUCACCGCGACGACGAGAGGACGAACCUGAACCGGAGCUCACCGAAUCUAAGGUUAGUACCGCCAAACCCUCUGAACGACUUCAGGGAUUUGUGGAUUCGAUAUUGGCGCCAUCCGUGGGACCGAGCACAAACGUGUCUCGGUCUCCUCAUACAUACGGCCGGAUCUGCCCUCUCCGCGACGUCCAGAUCUGCCUCAUCAACUCCGGUCUUCAGGACAGGAUGACAAAAGUCAAGGUACAUACAAAACAGAGGAAGAGCAAGUUCCAAAGAAUGAAGAAUUUGUGAAGAUUGGAUCUUCGGAAUCUGAAUCAGUAUGUUCUAAAUGUGAUAAACUUGAAGCUGACAAUGACAAACUCUUGAAAGAUGCGGAGAGUUUGACAUUGGAAAACAAAACUUUGAAGAUCGAGAAGAAAGCUGAUGAUGAACAGAUUCUGGUGUUGCGUUUGAACUGUGAAAAACUGAAAUCUGAAAAUGACAAACUUUUGAAGAAUAUUGAGAGCUUGUCUUUAGAAAACAAAUAUUUUGAAAAAAUUAAAAGUGAAAAUAAAGAUGU